RNAcentral lists this ribosomal RNA (1859 nucleotides) under Salmonella enterica subsp. arizonae serovar 18:z4,z23:- str. CVM 32457. Its description in RNAcentral is "bacterial LSU rRNA". It matches the Rfam family "Bacterial large subunit ribosomal RNA", at positions 890 to 2925 of the family's 2925-position model. The record is from RNAcentral. Lineage: Bacteria; Pseudomonadati; Pseudomonadota; Gammaproteobacteria; Enterobacterales; Enterobacteriaceae.
UCAUCUCCGGGGGUAGAGCACUGUUUCGGCCAGGGGGCCAUCCCGGCUUACCAACCCGAUGCAAACUGCGAAUACCGGAGAAUGUUAUCACGGGAGACACACGGCGGGUGCUAACGUCCGUCGUGAAGAGGGAAACAACCCAGACCGCCAGCUAAGGUCCCAAAGUCAUGGUUAAGUGGGAAACGAUGUGGGAAGGCCCAGACAGCCAGGAUGUUGGCUUAGAAGCAGCCAUCAUUUAAAGAAAGCGUAAUAGCUCACUGGUCGAGUCGGCCUGCGCGGAAGAUGUAACGGGGCUAAACCAUGCACCGAAGCUGCGGCAGCGAUCGUUGGGUAGGGGAGCGUUCUGUAAGCCUGCGAAGGUGGCCUGUGAGGGUUGCUGGAGGUAUCAGAAGUGCGAAUGCUGACAUAAGUAACGAUAAUGCGGGUGAAAAACCCGCACGCCGGAAGACCAAGGGUUCCUGUCCAACGUUAAUCGGGGCAGGGUGAGUCGACCCCUAAGGCGAGGCCGAAAGGCGUAGUCGAUGGGAAACAGGUUAAUAUUCCUGUACCUGGUGUUACUGCGAAGGGGGGACGGAGAAGGCUAUGUUGGCCGGGCGACGGUUGUCCCGGUUUAAGCGUGCAGGUGUGUGUUCCAGGCAAAUCCGGGCAAGCUGACACGUAGGUGAAGCGGUUUACCCGUGAAGCUGAAGUCAGUCGAAGAUACCAGCUGGCUGCAACUGUUUAUUAAAAACACAGCACUGUGCAAACACGAAAGUGGACGUAUACGGUGUGACGCCUGCCCGGUGCCGGAAGGUUAAUUGAUGGGGUCAGCGCAAGCGAAGCUCCUGAUCGAAGCCCCGGUAAACGGCGGCCGUAACUAUAACGGUCCUAAGGUAGCGAAAUUCCUUGUCGGGUAAGUUCCGACCUGCACGAAUGGCGUAAUGAUGGCCAGGCUGUCUCCACCCGGGACUCAGUGAAAUUGAACUCGCUGUGAAGAUGCAGUGUACCCGCGGCAAGACGGAAAGACCCCGUGAACCUUUACUAUAGCUUGACACUGAACACUGGUCCUUGAUGUGCAGGAUAGGUGGGAGGCUUUGAAGUGUGGACGCCAGUCUGCAUGGAGCCGUCCUUGAAAUACCACCCUUUAAUGGCUGGUGUUCUAACGUAGACCCGUGAACCGGGUUGCGGACAGUGUCUGGUGGGUAGUUUGACUGGGGCGGUCUCCUCCUAAAGCGUAACGGAGGAGCACGAAGGUUGGCUAAUCCUGGUCGGACAUCAGGAGGUUAGUGCAAUGGCAUAAGCCAGCUUGACUGCGAGCGUGACGGCGCGAGCAGGUGCGAAAGCAGGUCAUAGUGAUCCGGUGGUUCUGAAUGGAAGGGCCAUCGCUCAACGGAUAAAAGGUACUCCGGGGAUAACAGGCUGAUACCGCCCAAGAGUUCAUAUCGACGGCGGUGUUUGGCACCUCGAUGUCGGCUCAUCACAUCCUGGGGCUGAAGUAGGUCCCAAGGGUAUGGCUGUUCGCCAUUUAAAGUGGUACGCGAGCUGGGUUUAGAACGUCGUGAGACAGUUCGGUCCCUAUCUGCCGUGGGCGCUGGAGAACUGAGGGGGGCUGCUCCUAGUACGAGAGGACCGGAGUGGACGCAUCACUGGUGUUCGGGUUGUCAUGCCAAUGGCACUGCCCGGUAGCUAAAUGCGGAAGAGAUAAGUGCUGAAAGCAUCUAAGCACGAAACUUGCCCCGAGAUGAGUUCUCCCUGAGACUACAAGUCUCCUGAAGGAACGUUGAAGACGACGACGUUGAUAGGCCGGGUGUGUAAGCGCAGCGAUGCGUUGAGCUAACCGGUACUAAUGAACCGUGAGGCUUAACCUUACAACGCCGAAG